RNAcentral lists this ribosomal RNA (366 nucleotides) under Triticum aestivum (bread wheat). RNAcentral describes it as "partial small subunit ribosomal RNA". The record is from RNAcentral. Lineage: Eukaryota; Viridiplantae; Streptophyta; Magnoliopsida; Poales; Poaceae.
AUGAAUUUUAAACAACUUGAUCAUGAGCAUGUUUCUCAAUCUUGGGAAAGAAUGAAAUUGAUGCUUCGCAAUUGCCCUACUCAUGGUUUGAAUUUAUGGAUGAUCAUACAAAAAUUUUAUGCCGGUUUGAACUUUGCUUCUAGAAAUCUCUUAGAUUCGGCCACGGGAGGCACGUUUAUGGAAAUCACGUUAGGAGAUGCUACAAAACUUCUUGAUAAUAUUAUGGCUAAUUAUUCUCAAUGGCACACCAAAAGAUCUUCUAGUAAAAAAGUGCAUGCUAUAGAAGAAAUCAAUGUUUUGAGUGGAAAGAUGGAUGAACUUAUGAAAAUUUUUGCUACUAAAAAUACUCCUCUUGAUCCCAAUUGA